RNAcentral lists this ribosomal RNA (157 nucleotides) under Pleurotus giganteus. RNAcentral describes it as "5.8S ribosomal RNA". The stretch from base 17 to 157 matches the Rfam family "5.8S ribosomal RNA". From Rfam's summary of the family: 5.8S ribosomal RNA (5.8S rRNA) is a component of the large subunit of the eukaryotic ribosome. Lineage: Eukaryota; Fungi; Basidiomycota; Agaricomycetes; Agaricales; Pleurotaceae. The record is from RNAcentral.
CUAUAAAUCUUAAUACAACUUUCAACAACGGAUCUCUUGGCUCUCGCAUCGAUGAAGAACGCAGCAAAUGCGAUAAGUAAUGUGAAUUGCAGAAUUCAGUGAAUCAUCGAAUCUUUGAACGCACCUUGCGCCCUUUGGUCCUCCGAAGGGCAUGCCU